GCUUCCAUAGCAAAGGGUUGCCCUUGGCUACAGGAGGACGCGGGCUGGCAGGCUUGGUUCCUGGCGAGUUUCUAAGCCCCCGCCUGCGGUCUGAGGCACCGGCUGAACCAUGUCGGAGAUCCUGUGCCACUGGCUCAACAAGGAGUUGAAGGUGUCCCGGACCGUGAGUCCCAAGUCAUUUGCAAAGGCAUUUUCCAGUGGCUAUCUACUUGGAGAAGUUCUACACAAGUUUGAACUUCAGGAUGAUUUUUCAGAAUUUUUGGACAGCAGGGUUUCAAGUGCCAAACUUAAUAAUUUUUCUCGCUUGGAGCCAACACUUCACCUUCUGGGUGUGCAGUUUGAUCAGAAUGUGGCCCAUGGCAUCAUCACAGAAAAGCCUGGGGUGGCAACAAAGCUGUUAUAUCAAUUGUACAUUGCUCUUCAGAAAAAGAAGAAAAGUGGACUGACUGGAGUGGAGAUGCAAACCAUGCAACGUCUGACAAAUUUAAGACUUCAAAACUUGAAAAGUGAUACUUUUCAAGAGAGACUGGGGCCACUUAUCAGUUGAGAAAAAGAGUCAGUGGCAGGAGAGAUGAAAAUGGUACAAGGACAAGAUGGAAAGAGGCCCUCUGGGGACGGAAAGAGGAAUAUGCAAUCAAUGGUUCAUGUGGAAGAGGUGAUAUCAUAGGAAA
Molecule: small RNA, 671 nt
Filed under: Pan troglodytes (chimpanzee)
Lineage: Eukaryota; Metazoa; Chordata; Mammalia; Primates; Hominidae
Description: processed transcript
Source: RNAcentral